CAAAGGCGGCGGCUGGCGACGGACUUGGCGCGAUGGCGGUGAUCCGAUCGGGCGAGAACGAGGCAGGGGCGAUGUGGUGGAGGCCCGGCGGCGCGGCUUCCUGCGGGUGCCAUGGCGUUGGGUGGGCUCCUGUGCACAUCCGAGAGAGAGGUGAGAGCAGAGAAAUCACUACCGUUCCAAGGUCUCUGGUCUGGGAGCUUGUGAAGAAGAGCAAGUGCUUCUUGAUCAAGCAGUUUGGCAACAGCAACGCCAAGGUCCAGUUUCACAAGGACCCAACAACCUCUACAAUGUCCGCUACUACAAGUUCUCAGGCUUAACAAACAGCAAGACCGUGGCGGUCCAGCCAUCAGCGGGAGAGGAGAAGGCUGUAGUCCUGUCCACGAGCAAGACCAAGAAGCAGGACACCCAUGCCAAGCUGUUGCACAAGACUCUAACGCGCAAGCAGUUCUGCAAGAUGGCCAAGUCUGUCCAGAAUCAGAUGCAAAGCAUCCAGGAUGUGAUAAAUCAUUCACUGGAUAAUGGCAUUUAUAUGUGGUUCCAGUCUUUUCACGGUGCAGGUGAACAUGAGAAUUCUAUCAAAGAUAAGUGCCCUUUCAAGAUUGACAUUGUUCUUUCUUCAGUGUAGGUGCAUGAUAUUACAUGAUUAAACAUGCCAAUUUUUUAAAUUGAUUUAGUUGUCUAUAUUAUGCUCUAUGUGCUAUUACCAACAAAAAAGUACACCAUAAUAUAAGAUGUUAUUACAUGGACGGAGGGAGAUUUUUAGCCUGCAAAGCAACAAAUCUAUUCCCAGUGUGGCAAUAAUGUGUUUGCACCAGUUAAGGAAGAAUUUGUUUUUCACACUGUAAGAAACACUUCAUGUUUCUUCCCCAUCAUUUAAGUGUGCCAUUCUUCUUUGUUCAUGUUGCUAAUAGGAUAUAUUUCAUUAUGAUGAUGUUCCAUACUGCUCCUAUGGAGUCACUCUUUGGACUGUUGGACGCGUAUAUCCAAUGAAACUACUUUUCCGGUUGUUGGCUGGAGCUAUCACUAUGACUGAAAAUUUCUUUUCAGUCAAGAAACCAACGACAUGUCAACACUUAUCAGCAGUUUGCAAUCUUUGUUAGACUAUGCCUAAGCCAACGGUUAGACAAUGUUAGGCAAUGUACAAAACAUGGACAUGAUUUAUGUAGAUUGGGCAGUCCAUUCAAACUGCAUUUUUCAAUCUUGAGUGGACGAUUAUAUGUUUUCUUAUAGAAAAUUGACUAUAUGUUUGAUGAAUUGACUGAUUAUUUUUGCCCUAUCAGAUUAAACUAGGUCUUAAUUUGAAGGUACAAUUUAGGCUGCUGGUGCUGGUUUGUUUAUUGUACUAAUUAUGCUCUUUAGACAGAGACAUGUU
Molecule: long non-coding RNA, 1372 nt
Organism: Triticum dicoccoides
Lineage: Eukaryota; Viridiplantae; Streptophyta; Magnoliopsida; Poales; Poaceae
Exons: 3
Source: RefSeq, a predicted model, not a curated record